CCCAUGAACACCCAUUUUUCUUAUAAUAAAUCUUUUACAUGUGUAAAUAUAAGCCAUUUGUAAAAGUCUUAUAAAAUCUUAUUUAUUUUUUAAUAGUUUUUGAGAACUUUAACUGGUCAAUGAUAAAGCUAUGAAAAAUCAAGAGAGAACAUUUUCCCGCCAAAAUUCCAAUGGCUAAUAUCUCGAAAACAAGCACAUUGACCCCUAUAUUUUUUUUGACUUUUUUUGAUUCCUCAAUUAAUCCCCUAUCAGUAUUUACUAGUUUUAUGGAAAGUUAUUUAUUUUGAAACUGAGCAGCAAACAUCCUUAAG
This 311-nucleotide long non-coding RNA is filed under the name Mytilus galloprovincialis (Mediterranean mussel). The record is from RNAcentral. Lineage: Eukaryota; Metazoa; Mollusca; Bivalvia; Mytilida; Mytilidae.